Molecule: ribosomal RNA, 497 nt
Filed under: uncultured bacterium
Lineage: Bacteria
Description: partial 16S ribosomal RNA
Rfam family: Bacterial small subunit ribosomal RNA
Source: RNAcentral
GAUGAACGCUGGCGGCGUGCCUAAUACAUGCGAGUCGAGCGAACAGACGAGGAGCUUGCUCCUCUGACGUUAGCGGCGGACGGGUGAGUAACACGUGGAUAACCUACCUAUAAGACUGGGAUAACUUCGGGAAACCGGAGCUAAUACCGGAUAAUAUAUUGAACCGCAUGGUUCAAUAGUGAAAGACGGUUUUGCUGUCACUUAUAGAUGGAUCCGCGCCGCAUUAGCUAGUUGGUAAGGUAACGGCUUACCAAGGCGACGAUGCGUAGCCGACCUGAGAGGGUGAUCGGCCACACUGGAACUGAGACACGGUCCAGACUCCUACGGGAGGCAGCAGUAGGGAAUCUUCCGCAAUGGGCGAAAGCCUGACGGAGCAACGCCGCGUGAGUGAUGAAGGUCUUCGGAUCAUAAAACUCUGUUAUUAGGGAAGAACAAAUGUGUAAGUAACUAUGCACGUCUUGACGGUACCUAAUCAGAAAGCCACGGCUAACUACGUG